This 1044-nucleotide long non-coding RNA is filed under the name Homo sapiens (human). RNAcentral describes it as "HSALNT0331421". Lineage: Eukaryota; Metazoa; Chordata; Mammalia; Primates; Hominidae. The record is from RNAcentral.
GACAAGAGCAAGAUUCUGUCUCAAAAAUAAAAUUUUAAAAGUUCUGCAAUUCUGCAUAAAGAUAAAUGCUAUUUGUUCCUGGGGGCUGGGGUCACCAGGGAGGCUUCCUGGAGGAGGAGGCAGGGCUGAGGAAUGGAUGGCAGCAGAGAGUAUUUGUGGGUGAGGCUAUGGUGCUGCUGGAGAGGCAGGGUGUGGCAGCUUGGGCUGGGGCCAGCAGUGAGCUUGGAAUUCCCCAGGGCUUUCCAGAAGCCAGAAGGCCGGGGCGGAGUGGGUUGUCCAAGAGCUUGUCUUGUCCUCUUGCCCUGGCCACAGCCGGGAAGCCCUGGGCAGGCGCCCGUGGAUAGCUGGCACGCUCAGCCUUUGGUGGAGAACUGAGAAAGUCUGAAGCAGGAAGGUGGAAAAACAUUUCGUGCUCAGGGAGGAAACGUCUUCACCCCGGUUUACAGGAUGACACGUCAGCAGGGCCCUCACCAGAUGCUGGCCCCUUGAUCUCAGACUUCCCGGCCUCCUGCGCUGCCAGCCUAAUACACUUCUCUUCGUUGUAAAUUACUCAGUCUGUGAUAUUCUGUGAUAGCAACAGAAAACAGACGAAGACGCAGGCCAAGGUGAGCUCAGAUGGGAAUGGGGCCUGGUGUGAGUCAGGAUGUGGACUGGCCCAGGGCACAGAGGUCAGGAGCAGGACAUUGGGGCCAGAGCUCAGGGUUACCUGGACUCUGUCAGAGGCCUCUGGUUGGAUCCAGCCUCACCACCCUGGUGUUUGAGGCCCUCUGCACUUCCAUCCAGCUCCGGGCAGCCAGGUUGGUCUCUUUCAUCUCCUGUGCACACACUUCAGUCUCAUCUCUCACCCUUGACCCUGCCCAAAAUAGUCUGUACUUACGAAGAGUCUGCCCCUCUUUCCAGCUUUAUCUCAGGAAGGACCUUCAGGAAGCUUUUCCCAACCACUUCAGCCCCAGGGUCCUGAGAUUUCUCUGGAUUCCGGAACGCGCUGGCCGGUCACUCAACACCAGAGUGAAUACACGUGUCUGUCUGGUCCCGCCGUCCUCA